Molecule: ribosomal RNA, 478 nt
Filed under: Cistudinella foveolata
Lineage: Eukaryota; Metazoa; Arthropoda; Insecta; Coleoptera; Chrysomelidae
Description: eukaryotic LSU rRNA
Source: RNAcentral
AGAGUACGUGAAACCGUUCAGGGGUAAACCUGAGAAACCCGAAAGGUCGAAUGGGGAAAUUCAUUCGCGUUUCGAUUGUCGGCGUUGAGCGGUUGCGUGACUGACGGGGUACGCUUCGUCGGCACCUUCAGUUUUUCGAACCGACUUCGAACGCGUGCACUUUUCCCCUAGUAGGACGUCGCGAUCCGUUGGGUGUCGGUCUAAGGCCUGCGGUGGAGCUCGCGCUGACGUUUCGGCGUUCAGCACGAACCCGCAGUGUCCCGAUCGACUCGCUCGACGGUAUAAAGAUGGCGCGGGGCCGCUACACAGUUAGCGUUCGGCCUACGGCAAGCACGUACGGUGUUUGAUGGCGAUCAGACCUGGUCGGAUCCCGUCCCCGGACGACUGUUGGCACGUAGUGUUCUCGAACAGACCUCGUUGAAACGCCGAUCUGCGACGCUAUAGCUUUGGGUACUUUCAGGACCCGUCUUGAAACACG